CCUUCGAUUCGGCUUUUGCUUCAUUUAGUUUAAGGGUUGCAGAAAACAUUUGCUGCAGAUUCCUCUCCCUCCAUUGAUGCACACGAUGGAGCGGCAUAAAGUCUUGAGGCAUCAACCGCUGGUUGAAGAAUGUGUCAAGCGCCAGCAGCGUAUGUUGAAGCCAGACAUAAAAGAGUAAUCAAGAGGCGGAUGGAAAUUUUGAUCGCCAUAGACUUUUCAGAAAGGGAUGAGGACAAUCCGAGCUUGCUAAGAUACAUACCCCGAUGGCCGCACACCAGAUUCUCGUUCUAGUUUUCCAUCCCUCAUCUCUUCCGAGACAAAAAGGGGGGAUAAAACAUCCUUUGAUAAGGCAUUUUGUAUUGGAAUUUAAGUUAGAUGCCAUUCUUUUUGCUUGUUUGGUGAUACAAAAUAUGUCAAAAAUCAUACCUGAACCCUUAACUCAAACUGUCUGCUCAUAGAA
Long non-coding RNA from Eucalyptus grandis, 460 nucleotides. RefSeq lists it as uncharacterized. The transcript has 2 exons. NCBI's taxonomy places the organism in Eukaryota, Viridiplantae, Streptophyta, Magnoliopsida, Myrtales, Myrtaceae. The record is from RefSeq and is a predicted model, not a curated record.